Molecule: transfer RNA, 88 nt
Filed under: Bacilli bacterium
Lineage: Bacteria; Bacillati; Bacillota; Bacilli
Also listed under: 1 other name
Description: tRNA-Leu
Rfam family: tRNA
About the family: Transfer RNA (tRNA) molecules are approximately 80 nucleotides in length.
Source: RNAcentral
GCCCAGGUGGCGAAACAGGUAGACGCACAGGACUUAAAAUCCUGGGGGAGUUGAUCCCGUACCGGUUCGAUUCCGGUCCUGGGCACCA